UGCGAUUUCAAUCAGACCAAGGAGGAGGUCUCAAGCUUCAACCCUAAAACACAAAAAUUCACCAAAUUGAAGGGGCAAAUCAAGCCCAAAUCAAAAUCCAAGCAUAGAUUAGUGAUCACCUCAGUGAAGGGAUCAUGAGGAUAAGGAGCCGAGUCUUCAAGCGGACACGCGCUUGAAAGGAACACUUUGAAGGUGAUGAUGGAUCUAACCCGGAUGGUGAUCAAGAAGUUAUCAAGAACCGAAUGCGCUAAACAAAGCUUCCGCAAUUGAUCUAUUUUGUUUUAAAUAAUAUGAAAACACUUGAAGUCAUGUUUUGUAUGUUUAAAUUAGUUGGGGUAUAACUUGAAUAUUAUGAUCAUGUAUGGUCUUAAAAGCAUGAAAGUUUUUGUAA
Molecule: long non-coding RNA, 391 nt
Filed under: Helianthus annuus (common sunflower)
Lineage: Eukaryota; Viridiplantae; Streptophyta; Magnoliopsida; Asterales; Asteraceae
Description: hypothetical non coding rna
Source: RNAcentral